This 467-nucleotide ribosomal RNA is filed under the name uncultured bacterium. Its description in RNAcentral is "partial 16S ribosomal RNA". It matches the Rfam family "Bacterial small subunit ribosomal RNA", at positions 28 to 507 of the family's 1533-position model. The record is from RNAcentral.
GACGAACGCUGGCGGCGUGCUUAACACAUGCAAGUCGAACGGAAAGGCCCUGCUUUUGUGGGGUGCUCGAGUGGCGAACGGGUGAGUAACACGUGAGUAACCUGCCCUUGACUUUGGGAUAACUUCAGGAAACUGGGGCUAAUACCGGAUAGGAGCUCCUGCUGCAUGGUGGGGGUUGGAAAGUUUCGGCGGUUGGGGAUGGACUCGCGGCUUAUCAGCUUGUUGGUGGGGUAGUGGCUUACCAAGGCUUUGACGGGUAGCCGGCCUGAGAGGGUGACCGGCCACAUUGGGACUGGGAUCCGGCCCAGACUCCUACGGGGGGCAGCAGUGGGGAAUAUUGCACAAUGGGCGGAGGCCUGAUGCAGCAACGCCGCGUGCGGGAUGACGGCCUUCGGGUUGUAAACCGCUUUCGCUUGUGACGAACGUGAGUGACGGUAAUGGGUAAAGAAGCACCGGCUAACUACGUG